This 427-nucleotide ribosomal RNA is filed under the name uncultured bacterium. RNAcentral describes it as "partial 16S ribosomal RNA". It matches the Rfam family "Bacterial small subunit ribosomal RNA", at positions 355 to 774 of the family's 1533-position model. The record is from RNAcentral.
UGGGGAAUAUUGCACAAUGGGCGCAAGCCUGAUGCAGCCAUGCCGCGUGUGUGAAGAAGGCCUUCGGGUUGUAAAGCACUUUCAGCGAGGAGGAAGGCAGUCGUGUUAAUAGCACGAUUGAUUGACGUUACUCGCAGAAGAAGCACCGGCUAACUCCGUGCCAGCAGCCGCGGUAAUACGGAGGGUGCAAGCGUUAAUGGGAAUUACUGGGCGUAAAGCGCACGCAGGCGGUUUGUUAAGUCAGAUGUGAAAUCCCCGCGCUUAACGUGGGAACUGCAUUUGAAACUGGCAAGCUAGAGUCUUGUAGAGGGGGGUAGAAUUCCAGGUGUAGCGGUGAAAUGCGUAGAGAUCUGGAGGAAUACCGGUGGCGAAGGCGGCCCCCUGGACAAAGACUGACGCUCAGGUGCGAAAGCGUGGGGAGCAAACA